Long non-coding RNA from Melanotaenia boesemani (Boeseman's rainbowfish), 85 nucleotides. RefSeq lists it as uncharacterized. NCBI's taxonomy places the organism in Eukaryota, Metazoa, Chordata, Actinopteri, Atheriniformes, Melanotaeniidae. The transcript is spliced from 3 exons. The record is from RefSeq and is a predicted model, not a curated record.
GGAGGAGGGGUCAGGUGGAGGAGGAGGGGUCAGGUGAUGGAGGAGGGGUCAGGUGAUGAAGGAGGGGUCAGGUGAUGGAGGAGGG